Molecule: ribosomal RNA, 2904 nt
Filed under: Enterobacter cloacae
Lineage: Bacteria; Pseudomonadati; Pseudomonadota; Gammaproteobacteria; Enterobacterales; Enterobacteriaceae
Also listed under: 1 other name
Description: 23S ribosomal RNA
Rfam family: Bacterial large subunit ribosomal RNA
Source: RNAcentral
GGUUAAGCGACUAAGCGUACACGGUGGAUGCCCUGGCAGUCAGAGGCGAUGAAGGACGUGCUAAUCUGCGAAAAGCGCCGGCGAGGUGAUAUGAACCCUUGACCCGGCGAUGUCCGAAUGGGGAAACCCAGUGUGUUCCGACACACUAUCGUUAACUGAAUACAUAGGUUAACGAGGCGAACCGGGGGAACUGAAACAUCUAAGUACCCCGAGGAAAAGAAAUCAACCGAGAUUCCCCCAGUAGCGGCGAGCGAACGGGGAGCAGCCCGGAGUCUGAAUCAGCUUGUGUGUUAGUGGAACGGUCUGGAAAGUCCGACGGUACAGGGUGAUAGUCCCGUACACGAAAACACACUUGCUGUGAACUCGAAGAGUAGGGCGGGACACGUGGUAUCCUGUCUGAAUAUGGGGGGACCAUCCUCCAAGGCUAAAUACUCCUGACUGACCGAUAGUGAACCAGUACCGUGAGGGAAAGGCGAAAAGAACCCCGGCGAGGGGAGUGAAAAAGAACCUGAAACCGUGUACGUACAAGCAGUGGGAGCACCUUCGGGUGUGACUGCGUACCUUUUGUAUAAUGGGUCAGCGACUUAUAUUCUGUAGCAAGGUUAACCGUAUAGGGGAGCCGAAGGGAAACCGAGUCUUAACUGGGCGUUAAGUUGCAGGGUAUAGACCCGAAACCCGGUGAUCUAGCCAUGGGCAGGUUGAAGGUUGGGUAACACUAACUGGAGGACCGAACCGACUAAUGUUGAAAAAUUAGCGGAUGACCUGUGGCUGGGGGUGAAAGGCCAAUCAAACCGGGAGAUAGCUGGUUCUCCCCGAAAGCUAUUUAGGUAGCGCCUCGUGAACUCAUCUUCGGGGGUAGAGCACUGUUUCGGCUAGGGGGCCAUCCCGGCUUACCAACCCGAUGCAAACUACGAAUACCGAAGAAUGUUAUCACGGGAGACACACGGCGGGUGCUAACGUCCGUCGUGAAGAGGGAAACAACCCAGACCGCCAGCUAAGGUCCCAAAGUCAUGGUUAAGUGGGAAACGAUGUGGGAAGGCACAGACAGCCAGGAUGUUGGCUUAGAAGCAGCCAUCAUUUAAAGAAAGCGUAAUAGCUCACUGGUCGAGUCGGCCUGCGCGGAAGAUGUAACGGGGCUAAACCAUGCACCGAAGCUGCGGCAGCGACGCUUAUGCGUUGUUGGGUAGGGGAGCGUUCUGUAAGCCGUUGAAGGUGUGCUGUGAGGCAUGCUGGAGGUAUCAGAAGUGCGAAUGCUGACAUAAGUAACGAUAAAGCGGGUGAAAAGCCCGCUCGCCGGAAGACCAAGGGUUCCUGUCCAACGUUAAUCGGGGCAGGGUGAGUCGACCCCUAAGGCGAGGCCGAAAGGCGUAGUCGAUGGGAAACAGGUUAAUAUUCCUGUACUUGGUGUUACUGCGAAGGGGGGACGGAGAAGGCUAUGUCAGCCGGGCGACGGUUGUCCCGGUUUAAGCAUGUAGGCGGAGGUUCCAGGUAAAUCCGGUACCUUUUAACGCUGAGGUGUGAUGACGAGGCACUACGGUGCUGAAGUGAUAAAUGCCCUGCUUCCAGGAAAAGCCUCUAAGCAUCAGGUAACACGAAAUCGUACCCCAAACCGACACAGGUGGUCAGGUAGAGAAUACCAAGGCGCUUGAGAGAACUCGGGUGAAGGAACUAGGCAAAAUGGUGCCGUAACUUCGGGAGAAGGCACGCUGAUAGGUAGGUGAAGCCCCUGCGGGCGGAGCUGAAAUCAGUCGAAGAUACCAGCUGGCUGCAACUGUUUAUUAAAAACACAGCACUGUGCAAACACGAAAGUGGACGUAUACGGUGUGACGCCUGCCCGGUGCCGGAAGGUUAAUUGAUGGGGUUAGCGGCAACGCGAAGCUCUUGAUCGAAGCCCCGGUAAACGGCGGCCGUAACUAUAACGGUCCUAAGGUAGCGAAAUUCCUUGUCGGGUAAGUUCCGACCUGCACGAAUGGCGUAAUGAUGGCCAGGCUGUCUCCACCCGAGACUCAGUGAAAUUGAACUCGCUGUGAAGAUGCAGUGUACCCGCGGCAAGACGGAAAGACCCCGUGAACCUUUACUAUAGCUUGACACUGAACACUGGUCCUUGAUGUGUAGGAUAGGUGGGAGGCUUUGAAGCGUGGACGCCAGUCUGCGUGGAGCCGCCCUUGAAAUACCACCCUUUAAUGGCUGGUGUUCUAACGUAGACCCGUGAUCCGGGUUGCGGACAGUGUCUGGUGGGUAGUUUGACUGGGGCGGUCUCCUCCCAAAGAGUAACGGAGGAGCACGAAGGUUGGCUAAUCCUGGUCGGACAUCAGGAGGUUAGUGCAAUGGCAUAAGCCAGCUUGACUGCGAGCGUGACGGCGCGAGCAGGUGCGAAAGCAGGUCAUAGUGAUCCGGUGGUUCUGAAUGGAAGGGCCAUCGCUCAACGGAUAAAAGGUACUCCGGGGAUAACAGGCUGAUACCGCCCAAGAGUUCAUAUCGACGGCGGUGUUUGGCACCUCGAUGUCGGCUCAUCACAUCCUGGGGCUGAAGUAGGUCCCAAGGGUAUGGCUGUUCGCCAUUUAAAGUGGUACGCGAGCUGGGUUUAGAACGUCGUGAGACAGUUCGGUCCCUAUCUGCCGUGGGCGCUGGAGAAUUGAGGGGGGCUGCUCCUAGUACGAGAGGACCGGAGUGGACGCAUCACUGGUGUUCGGGUUGUCAUGCCAAUGGCACUGCCCGGUAGCUAAAUGCGGAAGAGAUAAGUGCUGAAAGCAUCUAAGCACGAAACUUGCCCCGAGAUGAGUUCUCCCUGAGACCUUGAGUCUCCUGAAGGAACGUUGAAGACGACGACGUUGAUAGGUCGGGUGUGUAAGCGCAGCGAUGCGUUGAGCUAACCGAUACUAAUGAACCGUGAGGCUUAACCUU